UCGCAACCCUUGGCUCCGACGGCCAGCAGAUUGAUCUCAACGCGCCGGCGCCGGUCGCGAUCAUGAUGGUCGGUCUGCAGGGCUCCGGCAAAACCACCACCACCGCAAAACUGGCGCGCCGGCUGACCCAGCGCGACAAGAAAAAAGUUCUGAUGGCGUCGCUCGACGUCUAUCGCCCGGCUGCGCAGGAACAGCUCGCUGUGCUCGGCCGCGACCUGUCCAUCGAGACGCUGCCGAUCGUCGCGGGACAGA
This 252-nucleotide unclassified non-coding RNA is filed under the name Hevea brasiliensis (rubber tree). The record is from RNAcentral. Lineage: Eukaryota; Viridiplantae; Streptophyta; Magnoliopsida; Malpighiales; Euphorbiaceae.